AUUGAACGCUGGCGGCAAGCCUAACACAUGCAAGUCGAACGAGUGGCGGACGGGUGAGUAAUGUCUGGGAAACUGCCUGAUGGGGGGGGAUAACUACUGGAAACGGUAGCUAAUACCGCAUACCAUCGGAUGUGCCCAGAUGGGAUGAGCUAGUGGGUGGGGUAAAGGCUCACCUAGGCGACGAUCCCUAUCUGGUCUGAGAGGAUGCCCAGCCAUACGGGAACUGAGACACGGUCCAGCCGCCUACGGGAGGCAGCAGUGGGGAAUAUGGCACAAUGGGCGCAAGCCUGAUGCAGCCAUGCCGCGUGUAUGAAGAAGGCCUUCGGGUUGUAAAGUACUUUCAGCGGUGAGGCGUUACCAGCAGAAGAAGCACCGGCUAACUCCGUGCCAGCAGCCGCGGUAAUAC
RNAcentral lists this ribosomal RNA (406 nucleotides) under uncultured bacterium. RNAcentral's name for it is "partial 16S ribosomal RNA". It matches the Rfam family "Bacterial small subunit ribosomal RNA", at positions 30 to 526 of the family's 1533-position model. The record is from RNAcentral.